ACACGGACCCCAGGAGUCUAGCAUGUGCGCGAGUCAUUGGGACUUAGCGAAUCCUAAAGGCGUAAUGAAAGUAAAAGAUAAUAUUAAGUUGUCAAAGGGCAGAUGGGUAGUGUUACGACACUGCCCCGCAUGCCCGGGGCGUCCCAAUCUCAUUGCGAGAUAGGGCGCACCAAGAGCGUACACGCUGGGACCCGAAAGAUGGUGAACUAUGCCUGGUCAGGACGAAGUCAGGGGAAACCCUGAUGGAGGUCCGUAGCGAUUCUGACGUGCAAAUCGAUCGUCGGAACUGGGUAUAGGGGCGAAAGACUAAUCGAACCAUCUAGUAGCUGGUUCCCUCCGAAGUUUCCCUCAGGAUAGCUGGCACUCGUUUUGCGAGUCUCAUCCGGUAAAGCGAAUGAUUAGAGGCAUUGGGGUCGAAACGGCCUCAACCUAUUCUCAAACUUUAAAUGGGUGAGAUCUUCGGCUUGUUUGAACGUAAAGCCGUAAGUAAUCGGAUCAGAGUGCCAAGUGGGCCACUUUUGGUAAGCAGAACUGGCGCUGUGGGAUGAACCAAACGCCGAGUUAAAGCGCCUAAAUCGACGCUUAUGGGAUACCAUGAAAGGCGUUGGUAACUU
RNAcentral lists this ribosomal RNA (614 nucleotides) under Ochthebius subpictus. Its description in RNAcentral is "partial 28S ribosomal RNA". It matches the Rfam family "Eukaryotic large subunit ribosomal RNA", at positions 659 to 1233 of the family's 3401-position model. The record is from RNAcentral. Lineage: Eukaryota; Metazoa; Arthropoda; Insecta; Coleoptera; Hydraenidae.